UACAGAGGUCUCGAGCGUUAAUCGGAGUCACUGGGCUUAAAGGGUGCGUAGGCGGCGCUGCAAGUGCCUUGUGAAAUCCCAUCGCUCAACGAUGGAAUUGCUCGGUAGACUGCAGUGCUUGAGGUUGGUAGGGGCUGCCGGAACUCUAGGUGGAGCGGUGAAAUGCGUAGAUAUCUAGAGGAACGCCAAAGGUGAAGACAGGCAGCUGGGCCAAUGCUGACGCUGAGGCACGAAAGCGUGGGGAGCGAACGGG
This 253-nucleotide ribosomal RNA is filed under the name uncultured bacterium. RNAcentral's name for it is "partial 16S ribosomal RNA". It matches the Rfam family "Bacterial small subunit ribosomal RNA", at positions 524 to 776 of the family's 1533-position model. The record is from RNAcentral.